AUACGGAGGAUCCGAGCGUUAUCCGGAUUUAUUGGGUUUAAAGGGUGCGCAGGCGGCCAUUUAAGUCAGCGGUUAAAUCGUGGGGCUCAACCCCAUUCUGCCGUUGAUACUGGGUGGCUUGAUUGCGGUCGAGGUUGGCGGAAUUCGUUGUGUAGCGGUGAAAUGCAUAGAUAUGACGAAGAACACCGAUUGCGUAGGCAGCUGACCAGAUCGCAAAUGACGCUCAUGCACGAAAGUGCGGGGAUCGAACAGGAUUAGAUACCCUGGUAGUCCGCACAGUAAACGAUGAAUACUUGUUUUCGGCGAUAUAAUGUCGGAGGCAAAGCGAAAGCGAUAAGUAUUCCACCUGGGGAGUACGUUCGCAAGAAUGAAACUCAAAUGAAUUGGCGGGG
Molecule: ribosomal RNA, 392 nt
Filed under: uncultured bacterium
Lineage: Bacteria
Description: partial 16S ribosomal RNA
Rfam family: Bacterial small subunit ribosomal RNA
Source: RNAcentral